GAUGAACGCUGGCGGCGUGCCUAAUACAUGCAAGUCGAGCGAACGGACGAGAAGCUUGCUUCUCUGAUGUUAGCGGCGGACGGGUGAGUAACACGUGGAUAACCUACCUAUAAGACUGGGAUAACUUCGGGAAACCGGAGCUAAUACCGGAUAAUAUUUUGAACCGCAUGGUUCAAAAGUGAAAGACGGUCUUGCUGUCACUUAUAGAUGGAUCCGCGCUGCAUUAGCUAGUUGGUAAGGUAACGGCUUACCAAGGCAACGAUGCAUAGCCGACCUGAGAGGGUGAUCGGCCACACUGGAACUGAGACACGGUCCAGACUCCUACGGGAGGCAGCAGUAGGGAAUCUUCCGCAAUGGGCGAAAGCCUGACGGAGCAACGCCGCGCGAGUGAUGAAGGUCUUUGGAUCGUAAAACUCUGUUAUUAGGGAAGAACAUAUGUGUAAGUAACUGUGCACAUCUUGACGGUACCUAAUCAGAAAGCCACGGCUAACUACGUG
Molecule: ribosomal RNA, 497 nt
Filed under: uncultured bacterium
Lineage: Bacteria
Description: partial 16S ribosomal RNA
Rfam family: Bacterial small subunit ribosomal RNA
Source: RNAcentral